This 959-nucleotide ribosomal RNA is filed under the name Geastrum smardae. Its description in RNAcentral is "eukaryotic LSU rRNA". It matches the Rfam family "Eukaryotic large subunit ribosomal RNA", at positions 1 to 940 of the family's 3401-position model. Lineage: Eukaryota; Fungi; Basidiomycota; Agaricomycetes; Geastrales; Geastraceae. The record is from RNAcentral.
UUUGACCUCAAAUCAGGUAGGACUACUCGCUGAACUUAAGCAUAUCAAUAAGCGGAGGAAAAGAAACUAACAAGGAUUCCCCUAGUAACGGCGAGUGAAGAGGGAAAAGCUCAAAUUUAAAAUCUGGCGGUCUACGGCCGUCCGAGUUGUAAUCUAGAGAAGUGUUUUCCGCGCUGGACCGUGUACAAGUCCUUUGGAACAAGGCGUCAUAGAGGGUGAGAAUCCCGUCUACGACACGGACUGCCAAGCGCUUUGUGAUACACUCUCAACGAGUCGAGUUGUUUGGGAAUGCAGCUCAAAAUGGGUGGUAAAUUCCAUCUAAAGCUAAAUAUGGGCGAAAGACCGAUAGCGAACAAGUACCGUGAGGGAAAGAUGAAAAGCACUUUGGAAAGAGAGUUAAACAGUACGUGAAAUUGUUGAAAGGGAAACGCUUGAAGUCAGUCGCGUCUUCAGAAAUUCAGCUGGGCUUCUGCCCUGUGUACUUUUCUGUGGGACGGGCCAGCAUCAGUUUCGGCUGCCAGAAAAAGGUGGGAGGAAGGUGGCACCUCCGGGUGUGUUAUAGCCUCCGAUCGUAUGUGGCAGCUGGGACUGAGGACCGCAGCACGCCUUCAUGGCCGGGGUUCGCCCACGUAACGUGCUUAGGAUGCUGGCGUAAUGGCUUUAAGCGACCCGUCUUGAAACACGGACCAAGGAGUCUAACAUGCCUGCGAGUAUUUGGGUGGCAAACCCAUAUGCGCAAUGAAAGUGAACGGUUGGGACUUCUGUCAUGGAAGGCACCGACGCCCGGACCAGACCUAUUGUGACGGAUCCGAGGUAGAGCAUGUAUGUUGGGACCCGAAAGAUGGUGAACUAUGCCUGAGUAGGGUGAAGCCAGAGGAAACUCUGGUGGAGGCUCGUAGCGAUUCUGACGUGCAAAUCGAUCGUCGAACUUGGGUAUAGGGGCGAAAGACUAAUCGAAC